AACAGAUGUGUUCAUUUAGAAAGUCCGUGGUCGAAACCAGGUCUUGAAUCUUGCUUGACGUAUGAUCAAUGACAUGUGUAGUGUGCAAUGGUGUCGAGGGAUCGUGGUUUUAAAGAAUUUACUUUUUUUACUAGAAGUAGCGCAGUAUUAUUAUAGUUAUACGAACGUUUCAACAGCAUAGAAUCAUUAAUAAUGGGGAAAGCAAAAAAAGGGAAAAAGGGCAGCAAGGAGGACGAUAUAGAGGAUGAAAUUGGUGUGGAUAUUCAGAAUGGGGUUGAUGAGAAUCUUCAAAGCAAGGGAAAGGAGAAAAAGGGGAAAUCGAAAAAUAAGGACACUGACAUUUCCAAAGCAGAUGUAAUAGAAGAAAUUGAUGAUGAAGCAUCAACAAAAAAGAAAAAAGGAAAAAAGGAGAAGAAAAAGAAAAAAGAUUAUGAAGAAGAUGAUGUAGAAUACUUAGCUAAAGAACUUGAUGAUGUAACAAUAGAGGAAGGGAGAAAAGACAAGAAACAAAGCAAGAAAGCAGCCGAGAAAUUUGAUGCAGAAUCUAGUGACGAAGAACCGAACUAUACGUCGUUGCCGAUGAACAAGAAGAAAACAGGAUUUGCCGCUCUUUCUCUUGACAGUGGUAGUGAUGUGGAAGAGAACAACAUGUCAAAGUCAUUCAAGGCUGAAAAAUUACGUUCAUCUGGUAAGGUGAAGGGGGGUUUUGCCGUUCUUGAAGUGGAGGGUGAAGGUUCUGAUUCAGCAACAGAGGACAGGAGUAGGGAAUCUGAAGAAGAAGAAGAAGAAGAAAGCAGCAGAAAUAGUAAUAAAAAAAUGAACAAAAAAGUAGCUCAGUCUGUAGAUUUAGAAGACGGUGUUAUUAAGAAGGAAGAUAAAGGUGGAAAGAAAGGAAAGAAACAGAGAAAGAAACAACAGGAUGAUGAUGAUGAAGAAGACAUUGAAAAGAUGCUAGCUGAAUUAGAAAUUGAAUACUCUGGCGGAGUUAAGAAGGAUGUGGUACAAGAGGAACCUCCAAAGGAUGAGGACGUCAGCGAAGAAAGUGGUAAGAAAGACAAAAAAAAGAAACGAAAGGCGGAUAUGGAGAAGAGAGAAGCAGCGUCAGAAGAGAAUCAGGAAACCCCGAAAGAAAUUAUAGAUGGUGAAGAGAUUGAAGGAACAGUAAAGACUGCAGCACAAAAGAAAAAAGAAAAGAAGGAGAGGGAAAAACAGAAGAAAAUGGCACAAAAGAAGGAAGCUGUGAAGAAGGUAGUGAAGGAUGAAACCCAAAAACCAGAGACUGAAAGUCCUGUUUCUGUACAGACUGCAUCACAAGACAUUGAAGAUAAAGAACCGGAUACAUCAGUGGUUCCUGAAGAUGGAGAUGAUGUUGAUGAUGAUGAUGACGAUGAUAAGAAAAAAAAGAAGAAGAAAAAGAAGGGAGAAGAGGAUAAAGGAAAGGACAAAGGAAAGGGACCAGGAAAGAAGAAAAUUGCAGCGAUGCAGGAAGCCUUGAAGAAGAUGCGUGAAGAGGAGGAGAAAUUAGCCCUUCAAGCAGCAGAACGAAUUAGGAAGGAGGAGGAAGCAGAGAGAGCGCGAGAAGAACAGCGCCUGUUGGAGAUUGAGCGCAAAGAAAGAAAGAAACUUAAAGAAAAAGAAAGAAAAGAGAGGCUGAAAGCAGAGGGUAAACUCCUGUCAGCGAAGCAGAAAGCUGACCGUGCCCGUGCUCAAGCAAUGUUGGAUGCUCUUAAAGCUCAGGGACUAGAAAUGCCUAAUGCAGGGGAGAAGAGAGCUCCCAGACCAGGCACGAGAGUACGGACUAAAGCAAAACAGCAGACUAGUCUUGAGCAAGACCAGAAACACGAAGAGCAGAACGUAGAGGUUGAAAUUGUGGAUUCUGUUGCAUCGGAAAAGAAGGAAGCAGGUGAAGUGAAGGACAGUUUGGAUCAGGAUGAUGAUGUGAAGGAUACGUGGGAUGCUGAGUCUUCGGGAGAAGACGAGGAUGAAGAUCAUUCUGAUAAGUCAAAAUUAGGUGCAAAAGUAAAAGGAACGAAACAAGAAGAAGAUGACGAUGAUGAAGAAGACGAUGAUGAAGAUGACAAUGAAGAAUCAGAAUCAGAGGAUGAAUCUGAUGAGAGCAGCAGUGAGGAGGAUAGUGAUAGUGAAGAUGAACACAAAACAGAUGCAGAAAGGCGAAAAGAGAGAGCAGUGGCUAGGAUACAGAAACGGCGCGAGGAAGCAGAAGUGAACCGGUCAGUUGAUGUAUUACGAGCUGCUGUGGUUUGUGUUCUGGGUCAUGUAGAUACAGGUAAAACAAAGAUCUUAGACAAGUUACGACGUACGAACGUUCAAGACGGUGAGGCUGGAGGUAUUACACAGCAGAUAGGAGCAACGAAUGUACCGAUCAGUGCAAUAAAAGAGCAAACUAAAUUUGUUAAAGGAUUUGCUGACGUAGAACUUCGGAUACCCGGUUUACUUAUCAUCGAUACUCCUGGACAUGAGUCUUUCAGCAACCUACGUAACAGAGGUUCUUCUCUCUGUGAUAUUGCGAUUCUCGUCGUGGACAUUAUGCAUGGAUUGGAACCGCAGACCAUUGAAUCUAUAAAUCUUCUCAAGAACAAGAAAACUCCUUUCAUUGUGGCCUUAAAUAAGAUUGACAGGCUUUACGACUGGCAGACAAUGAACAGGAAAGAUAUAAGAGAUGUAAUAAAGGCGCAGGCCGCUAAUACACAAUUAGAAUUUGAGCACAGAACCAAGGAGGUUAUCGUGCAGUUUGCAGAACAGGGGUUAAACGCUGCUGUCUUCUAUGACAACCCUGACAUCCGAAGCUACGUGUCCUUGGUGCCAACAAGCGCCAUUACGGGUGAGGGAAUCGGCAAUCUCCUGGGACUCAUCGUUGACAACUGCCAGAACAUGCUUGCCAAGAGACUUAUGUACUCUGAUGAACUGCAGGCGACAGUUCUGGAAGUAAAAGCCAUACCGGGUUUGGGAACGACAAUUGACGCUAUCCUGGUGAACGGAAGGCUUCGCGAAGGUGACGUCAUGGUACUGGCAGGAACAGACGGGCCGAUCGUGACGCAGAUUCGUUCGUUGCUGAUGCCACAACCCAUGAAAGAGCUUAGAGUAAAGAAUGCGUAUGUAGACUACAAGGAGAUUAAAGCGGCGCAAGGAGUAAAAAUUGCAGCGAAGGAUUUGGAAAAAGCAAUUGCAGGUCUGAAUCUUCAGGUAGCUCAGAAAAGCGACGAGGUCGAUAUCUUGCGCGAAGAAGUUUCUCGGGACUUGCGAUCUGCUCUCAGCAACAUCAAACUGCAGGAGAGAGGCGUGUACGUGCAGGCUUCGACUCUCGGCUCGCUGGAGGCUCUGCUCGAGUUCCUGAGGACAUCCAAAAUCCCGUAUUCAAAUAUCCGUAUUGGCCCGGUCGUGAAGAAGGACGUGAUGAAGGCCUCUACCAUGCUGGAACACGAUAGUCAGUACGCUACGAUCCUAGCAUUCGACGUGAAGGUCGAGAGAGACGCGCAAGACCUGGCAGAUACUCUGGGCGUGAAGAUAUUUCAGGCAGACAUCAUUUAUCACCUGUUUGACAAAUUCAUGGCGUACCGGGAGGAACUGAGGCAGAGGAAACGAGAGGAGUUCAAGCAUGUAGCGGUCUUCCCGUGCAAACUUAGGAUUUUACCACAUUGCAUCUUCAACACUCGUGACCCGAUAGUUUUGGGAGUGAUGAUUGAGGCUGGAAUUAUUAAAGAAGGAACGCCAAUUUGCAUACCAAGCAAGGAGUUCGUGGACCUCGGGGUUGUGACGAGUAUCGAGAUUAACCACAAAGCCGUGGAGUCCGCGAGAAAAGGGCAGGAGGUGUCCAUUAAAAUCGAAGCCAUCCCCGGAGAAACGCCCAAACUGUAUAAGAGACACUUCGAUGAGAAUGACUUUCUUAUCAGUAAGAUCAGUCGACAGUCGAUAGAUGCCUGCAAGGAUUACUUUCGAGACGACUUAGUGAAAACAGACUGGCAGCUCAUGGUUGAACUGAAGAAGUUGUUCCAGAUUUUGUAGCGCCAAAUUCGAAUAGGUUUUAUAAGUUAUUACGUUUAUGGUAUCAGAAUGUCUCCCAUAACAACUUUUGAUUAAAUUAAUGGAUUUGUAUGGAGUUUGAUAUGAGCUUUGAGCUUUUAAAAUGUCGAAACGUCAGAAAAAUCGGUACGUGUACCGUCUGGACUUGGAGGUUGUUGUCUUCUGGAGGUCCUUGCUGCAUUCGUAACCAGGGUGAUGAUGAAGUCAUUAAGCACCCUUGAAACUUUCUGUGCGACUACACGAAACAGCAUCCUAGAAGUGUCAUCUUCAUGCUCGUCGCCCUGAGAACCUGAAAUGUCAGUUUCCUCGCUGUAGUCCAGUUGUUCGAGCAGGACUUAGAAAAAAUUAAUGAAAACACAAGAGAUCUUGUUUUGAAUUGUAUUGCAUGAAAUGAGAACUUUGAUUUUUCUAAUUUAAUGCUCUGUUAUCGUACCAGUUCUAAGCCUACGUUGAGCGAUUUAUAAAGCGAUAUUGAAGCCUUGUGUA
RNA transcript from Zootermopsis nevadensis, 4527 nucleotides. It is a transcript of the gene named eukaryotic translation initiation factor 5B, with no coding region annotated. The record is from RefSeq and is a predicted model, not a curated record. NCBI's taxonomy places the organism in Eukaryota, Metazoa, Arthropoda, Insecta, Blattodea, Termopsidae.